UUGAGUGGCGAACGGGUGAGUAACACGUGGGCAACCUGCCCAAAAGAGGGGGAUAACACUUGGAAACAGGUGCUAAUACCGCAUAACCAUAGUUACCGCAUGGUAACUAUGUAAAAGGUGGCUAUGCUACCGCUUUUGGAUGGGCCCGCGGCGCAUUAGCUAGUUGGUGGGGUAAAGGCUUACCAAGGCGACGAUCAGUAGCCGGCCUGAGAGGGCGGACGGCCACACUGGGACUGAGACACGGCCCAGACUCCUACGGAAGGCAGCAG
This 269-nucleotide ribosomal RNA is filed under the name uncultured bacterium. RNAcentral's name for it is "partial 16S ribosomal RNA". It matches the Rfam family "Bacterial small subunit ribosomal RNA", at positions 91 to 354 of the family's 1533-position model. The record is from RNAcentral.